GAUGCAGAAGCCAGGAUGGGGAAUUCUCAUAGCAUGGAGCAGUGGACGGUGGGGUUAGUGGUGCCUGGGGUUGAGAAGACCAUGGAGAGACACACAGAAGUGUAUCCGGCUUCCAGAACAUUCUAUAUCACAGGCAAUGUGCCCAUCAAAUCUGGACUUCAGCCACCCCAUGGUUCCCUUUAAAUGGUUCAUCUUCCUGAAAGAUCUGUGUGUGUUAUUAAGAAUUUAACAUCAAAAAAACACUUCUAAUCCAGAGCUGAUGGUGGAGAGAGGGACCCCAUAGGCAGCUCAUGGUUCCUACUCUGCUGGUUCUCCAGCAGCACCCUCGUGUCCUCCAGGUCCCAGGUGAGGUGGUGACACUUCCUCUUCAGUUGGUGAGCCAUCUUCUUGGCCUCUUCAUACGCAGUCUGCAACUCCCCAAGCUAUGGAGAGAAGAGAGAGAGAGGUUCACUGGCGCCCCCCCCCCAUUUCUAAGCUCUGUCCGGGCCUUCAUCUCCGAGUCCAACCUCUCCUCACACUGUUGAAGGCGCUUUCGUAGGAAAACAUUCUCCAUCUGAGCGCAGUCCAAACGCAUCUGCCACUCGUCCGCUGUGUGACAGAGUCAAUGGCUGCCUCCAUUCAGCAGAGAGAAUCCAUGUCACAGUGGGAACUGGGCAAAGAUGUCACUAUCCUAUCCAACCAGAAAGCCAAGUCCCUCGGCAGUGGUAUAACUGGUGCACUGAUGCUGCCUGCCUCUCACUGGGCAGUCACUCAGCCAGCCUCAACUUGAUCAUGUAUGUGAGAGCAUGCAGAGCCCGAAUUCCUCAUGGUGAAGAGGUAGCUGAUGGCUAUGGGUUAGUCUACUCCAUAUGGCCCGGCUCUGCAUACUCAUGGUCUGGAACCAUCUACAUUUGAAUGUGAGGAAUCUGAGACUCAGGGCAACUUUGAAUAGCAGGGUAUGAUUCAAAUACAGAGGGGAAAUUU
This 963-nucleotide long non-coding RNA is filed under the name Mus pahari (shrew mouse). Its description in RNAcentral is "lncRNA (MGP_PahariEiJ_G0003151.1)". The record is from RNAcentral. Lineage: Eukaryota; Metazoa; Chordata; Mammalia; Rodentia; Muridae.